AAACGACUCUUGGCAACGGAUAUCUCGGCUCUU
This 33-nucleotide ribosomal RNA is filed under the name Lophogyne fimbriata. Its description in RNAcentral is "partial 5.8S ribosomal RNA". The record is from RNAcentral. Lineage: Eukaryota; Viridiplantae; Streptophyta; Magnoliopsida; Malpighiales; Podostemaceae.